GUAAUGCGUCUGUACCACAGACUGUAUACAAAAAUGGACGACAUGACAACACCCCAAAAGUGAAGCCAAAACAUCUGGAUCACCCCCUGGUGGCUGGCUGCAGUAUAGGUCAUAAACCCCGCCCCAUCCAUGUUAGCAGAUGGGACAAGGGC
Molecule: long non-coding RNA, 152 nt
Organism: Sebastes umbrosus (honeycomb rockfish)
Lineage: Eukaryota; Metazoa; Chordata; Actinopteri; Perciformes; Sebastidae
Exons: 3
Source: RefSeq, a predicted model, not a curated record